GACACGGUCCUCAAGCAGCAGCAUAGGCUUUCUGCAAACUUUCCAGGUGCCAGGGCUAAUGGGAUGAAGUGUUAGCGUGGUGAACACCUGGGCAUCAUAAUAAAAAGGCUUGUGAGAACACACUCAGGAGAAAGCAGUGAUGGGAAUGCCAGGGAGUAUCUUUGGCUUAUGUGGGAAGCCUUGAGGUAGGGUCUGUAGGAAGCAGGGAGGUCCCCAGGAGAGUCUACUGGGAGUUGAGACAGUGGGAACCUGCUAGGGAAAAGAGCCUCCAGGGAGAAAGUUCUGGAAAGAAAAGCUCAGUUAAAAUGAGUGAAGAACUCUCCAGGGCCUAUAAAUAGGGGCAAAGAGUCAGGAACUUCAGCUAGUGAAUGACAGACUAUAAGAGACCCACAAGGGGGAAAGCCUAGUACAGAGCAGAAAAGAAUUGUAAGGUAGACCAGAGCAAUGUUCCCUCUAACUAUUCCCAUCCAUGUGUGGAAUGAAUUUUGCUAUGUGCAUCAUUAUGGAGGUGGACUUUUGUUUCUGUGGAAGGGGACUGAACUUUAAAUGUGACUUGGCUGGAGAGCUGAGUCACCCAGAAGAAGAGUGCUGAAGAAUCAGAUGAACUUACAAAAGGAGAUUCUAGAGCAGAAGAAUCCCUGAAGUGUUGCAUGCUGGUCUAAGGAGUUGCCCCAAUGACAGCAAGCUUCAAAGGGUUUGGAUUUCUGGCUCAAUCUGGAUGAGCAUCCAAAAUUUCAGAAGCUUUUCUAUCCCUCCUAAAACUGGGCUGGGAGUCUCAUGGGAACAGGCUGACACAUUCUAGUGGUUUCAGACUUGCAGAUUACAGCUGAAAGUGGACAUACCAAAUUUUCAAGCUUUUACCGACUGCUUGAACUAGUAGUUACUGGAAAUAAUAUAAAAAUGUCCAUUCUUGUGUGACAUCCAGACUUCUUUCUAAUAAAAAAGACCCAGACUCAGACAAGCAUCCAAAAUACCUGGAAGUUUAUCUAACCCACCAAACUGGAGCCAUCUGAAACUUUCAAAACUUCAGUGGAAAACUUUUUUGUGAAAUACUAUGACAUUGUUUCAUCUUGUUCUACUCCAAACCUUUAGCAGGGGCAGCUAUCACUACUUGCUAUACAGCUCUGUGUACCACACAUCAAAUAUACAAUGAGCCAAGGUGACAUCUACAUUAGAGUGUGAAAGCUCUGCUGAAUGCAAAACUAGACAACUUCUGAAUACUAUGCAAUAUCUUAGGAGAAUACUAUAUUCAAUUUGUUUUAGUUUUGUCUUUCCAGUUCUGCAGAAUUGAUUUGAAUUGGCUUCAUAACCACUAUGGAAUUGUGCCAGGCUAUUUAAUAAACACCUUUCUACAGAUUUUAUGUACAACAGUGAAGCCACCCCAGAACAUCUGCACAUAACUUGGGCAAGGCUUCAUUAUCUAAGGAAAGAUAACAGAUUUGAUGAAGAAAUUCAGAAAUAUAAAACUGACAAACAGAAUAAAAAACUUUAUCAUAUCAUAUUGCCUUGAAUGGAAGUAGAGAAUGCCUAUGGAAACAACUUCCAAGCAGAUGGGAAGAGCUCCAUGAUUUAAAUUCUCCCAGUUUCCCUAUCCAGUAAGUGAGACCCAAAGACUAAUUAGAGAAAACUGCUCAUGGUUUUAGGCUGACUUCUUGGUAACCACCCAUCUACUCAAAGGUUCUUGACCCAUGUU
Long non-coding RNA from Mauremys reevesii (Reeves's turtle), 1693 nucleotides. RefSeq lists it as uncharacterized. The record is from RefSeq and is a predicted model, not a curated record. NCBI's taxonomy places the organism in Eukaryota, Metazoa, Chordata, Testudines, Geoemydidae. The transcript is spliced from 4 exons.